Long non-coding RNA from Pistacia vera, 103 nucleotides. RefSeq lists it as uncharacterized. Lineage: Eukaryota; Viridiplantae; Streptophyta; Magnoliopsida; Sapindales; Anacardiaceae. The transcript is spliced from 3 exons. The record is from RefSeq and is a predicted model, not a curated record.
CCCGUGCAUUUGUUUCAGGAAACUUUACAGGAGAUGGACUCACUGAUUCACUGAAUGGUCUAUCCAGCACAGAGGUAAAGAGCAUUGUUGAUUGGCGGGACUU